CCUACGGGCGGCAGCAGUGGGGAAUAUUGGGCAAUGGGCGCAAGCCUGACCCAGCAAUGCCGCGUGAAGGAAGAAGGCUUUCGGGUUGUAAACUUCUUUGACAGGGGAAGAGCAGAAGACGGUACCCUGAAAACAAGCCACGGCUAACUACGUGCCAGCAGCCGCGGUAAUACGUAGGUGGCAAGCGUUGUCCGGAUUUACUGGGUGUAAAGGGCGUGUAGCCGGGAAGGCAAGUCAGAGGUGAAAUCUGGAGGCUCAACCUCCAAAUUGCAUUUGAAACUGUUUUUCUUGAGUACUGGUGAGGCAGACGGAAUUCCUUGUGUAGCGGUGAAAUGCGUAGAUAUAAGGAGGAACACCAGUGGCGAAGGCGGUCUGCUGGACAGCAACUGACGGUGAGGCGCGAAAGCGUGGGGAGCAAACAGGAUUAGAUACCCCAGUAGUC
This 442-nucleotide ribosomal RNA is filed under the name uncultured bacterium. RNAcentral's name for it is "partial 16S ribosomal RNA". It matches the Rfam family "Bacterial small subunit ribosomal RNA", at positions 338 to 795 of the family's 1533-position model. The record is from RNAcentral.